CGUGUAGGCGGUUGGAUAAGUCGAGUGUGAAAUUCUGGGGCUUAACCCCAGCGCUGCAUUCGAAACUAUCUGGCUAGAGGAUAGGUGGAGAAAACGGAAUUCCACGUGUAGCGGUAAAAUGCGUAGAUAUGUGGAAGAACACCGGUGGCGAAGGCGGUUUUCUAACUUACACCUGACGCUGAGACGCGAAAGCAAGGGGAGCAAACA
Molecule: ribosomal RNA, 207 nt
Filed under: uncultured bacterium
Lineage: Bacteria
Description: partial 16S ribosomal RNA
Rfam family: Bacterial small subunit ribosomal RNA
Source: RNAcentral